AUACAGAGGGUGCGAGCGUUAAUCGGAAUUACUGGGAGUAAAGCGCGCGUAGGCGGCUUAUUAAGUCAGAUGUGAAAUCCCCGGGCUCAACCUGGGAACUGCAUCUGAUACUGGUAAGCUAGAGUUUUGGAGAGGGAAGUAGAAUUUCAGGUGUAGCGGUGAAAUGCAUAGAGAUCUGAAGGAAUACCAGUGGCGAAGGCGACUUCCUGGCCAAAAACUGACGCUGAGGUGCGAAAGCGUGGGUAGCAAACGGGAUUAGAAACCCCUGUAGUCC
This 274-nucleotide ribosomal RNA is filed under the name uncultured bacterium. Its description in RNAcentral is "partial 16S ribosomal RNA". It matches the Rfam family "Bacterial small subunit ribosomal RNA", at positions 523 to 796 of the family's 1533-position model. The record is from RNAcentral.